Molecule: long non-coding RNA, 1863 nt
Organism: Olea europaea var. sylvestris
Lineage: Eukaryota; Viridiplantae; Streptophyta; Magnoliopsida; Lamiales; Oleaceae
Exons: 2
Source: RefSeq, a predicted model, not a curated record
AAAAAAAAAAAAAAAAAAAAAAAAAGAGAGAGAAGAAAAGGACCUGAUGAAGAUGGACAAUCCCAGUCACAGAUACAUUCACAAUCACAAGUAAGAAAAAAAGGUGUUGUGUACAUGACGUGUUCUGUUUGUGGGGAAAAAGGAGAUAACAAAAGGCACCAAAAGUUCAUGGAAUCACAAGUUCAUGGAAGCCAAGAGGGACUUGGAGAUUAGAAGCUGCAAAAGCAUCUGCAGGGAUAAAAAUGUGGAUAUAUUUUGUUUUGUAUGUUGUUCAGAAGCAACCAAAUCUAUUUGAUAAAUGUCGAAGUUUAUUUUGUCGUAUUUUGUUUUUCUAACUGUUUAGAAGAAGCCAAAUCUCUCUGAUAAAUGUUGGAGUUUAUUUUGUAGUAUUUUGGUUUUCCGACUAUUUAGAAGAUAGGAUAUGAUUUUAUCUGGAGCAAUGUAAUUGCACUUGAAUUUGAUGGGCGUUUUGUGCACCUGCAUUUGUUGGUAAAUAUUGUGUUAUGUUUGACUGGAAAAUUAUCAUGGUUUGCUAUGUUUGUGGUUGUCCAGUGUCAAGAAAUUUGGUCAACUGGAGGAUAUAAUAAUAAAAAUAUUCCAUUGAUCUACUUGAAGGAUGUUACAACAUUCCAUAUUAUAUUGUUCUAAUUCAACAAAAUACAGCAUAUUAUAUUUUUCUAAUUGAACAAAAAAUACAGCAUAUUAUAAUCUCAUCAAGGUCCACCAAUACGUGGAAUCUCACUGAUGAAACACUUCCAAUCAAAUGAGUGCCCUCAUUGAUUCUUAUAUGUUGCUAGUAUCACCGAAAUCCGAACGAUCAUAUUACAAAUCUUUAUGUUGUAGGUGUUAACAAGAUUUGAAGAUUUUCCUACAAAGAAAUUGGAAGCAUUAAGAAUGGCAGCAGCAUUAGGAUGUUCCUUCACCUAACAAUUUCUUCACUAUAUCAAUGGAAAUACUUUACUGCACCUGCAACAGGAAAAUAAAUCUUACAUGAGGAAAAUAACAUCAUCCACCUUAACUACAUUACUCUUACAUUGUCUAAAUCAACAAAUGAAAUAUAGUACUCACAACAAGAAAAUAAAAACUCCAAUGGUAGCAACAUGUAGAAUCCUAAGAGUUAAAAUUUUUUAUCUCGAAGCAGGCCUAAAGAUUCUUUUGAUGUUCAUAGCAAUUUUUAAAACGGGGGGCAUGCACUUGGUAUGAGGCGCUAAAUCAGCCACGAAUUUUUAGUUUGGAGCCACUGACGGGUCUCGCUACUUUGGAGUUUCCACGCUUGCAAAUUUCCAGCUACGAUCUUUGGUGUUUGGAUGUGUCGAUUUUCGGUUUGGAGGCACUGCUUGCCAGCAAUGGUAACAGAGGUACCCUUCUGUUAGACACGUGGCCAAAAUCGUCAAAUUUUACUAACGGAAUGAAGUCGGUGAUGAAUGGGAUCCCAAAUGGCAAAGUUGAGUGACUAUCUAGGGGAUUUCUAAAGUUCAGUGAUCCCUUGGGUACAUUCGGCAAAGUUCGGUGACCAUUUAGGGUAUUAGCCCUGUUUUCAUAUACUUCAAAAAUAGAGAAAAUUAUGUGUCACCACUCAUGAAAUCCUUGUAAUUUUGAUUAUUCUCGAACAAUUUAAAAGUGAAAAGAUCUGGUACUCUCCUCCCCCUAAUAAAAUGCAGUAACAAUGCAGAUUAAAUCAAUAGAUAUAGGGUACAAUUCUACUAAUUGCCUUCGUGAAACUCCAAAAUAUCUAAUUAGUUUAGCCAUAAUUCAACUAUUGUUGAUUUAUGGAUGUCUCUGAAUUUAAAUGGGUCACGAUAUAUGCACCAUACAAUUCUAUUACAUACAAUAGACAAUAACAAUAAUUUGACACCAUGUACA